UACGGAGGGAGCUAGCGUUGUUCGGAAUUACUGGGCGUAAAGCGUGCGUAGGCGGUGUCUUAAGUUUGUUGUGAAAUCUCCCGGCUUAACCGGGAGGGUGCGGCGAAUACUGAGAUGCUGGAGUGCCGGAGAGGUAAGCGGAAUUCCUGGUGUAGGCGGUGAAAUGCGUAGAUAUCAGGAGGAACACCUGCGGUGUAGACGGCUUACUGGACGGUAACUGACGCUGAGGCACGAAAGCGUGGGUAGCAAACAGG
This 254-nucleotide ribosomal RNA is filed under the name uncultured bacterium. RNAcentral's name for it is "partial 16S ribosomal RNA". It matches the Rfam family "Bacterial small subunit ribosomal RNA", at positions 524 to 776 of the family's 1533-position model. The record is from RNAcentral.